RNAcentral lists this ribosomal RNA (359 nucleotides) under uncultured soil bacterium. RNAcentral describes it as "bacterial SSU rRNA". It matches the Rfam family "Bacterial small subunit ribosomal RNA", at positions 26 to 413 of the family's 1533-position model. The record is from RNAcentral.
AGAACGAACGCUGGCGGCAUGCCUAAUACAUGCAAGUCGAACGAACUCUUCGGGGUUAGUGGCGCACGGGUGCGUAACGCGUGGGAAUCUGCCCCUUGGUUCGGAAUAACAGUUGGAAACGACUGCUAAUACCGGAUGAUGACGAAAGUCCAAAGAUUUAUCGCCAAGGGAUGAGCCCGCGUAGGAUUAGCUAGUUGGUGAGGUAAAGGCUCACCAAGGCAACGAUCCUUAGCUGGUCUGAGAGGAUGAUCAGCCACACUGGGACUGAGACACGGCCCAGACUCCUACGGGAGGCAGCAGUAGGGAAUAUUGGACAAUGGGCGAAAGCCUGAUCCAGCAAUGCCGCGUGAGUGAUGAAG